RNAcentral lists this ribosomal RNA (520 nucleotides) under uncultured Glomus. RNAcentral's name for it is "SSU rRNA". It matches the Rfam family "Eukaryotic small subunit ribosomal RNA", at positions 569 to 1088 of the family's 1831-position model. The record is from RNAcentral. Lineage: Eukaryota; Fungi; Glomeromycota; Glomeromycetes; Glomerales; Glomeraceae.
AGCAGCCGCGGUAAUUCCAGCUCCAAUAGCGUAUAUUAAAGUUGUUGCAGUUAAAAAGCUCGUAGUUGAAUUUCGGGGUUAGUAGGUUGGUCAUGCCUCUGGUAUGUACUGGUCUCACUGAUUCCUCCUUCCUGAUGAGCCUUAAUGCCAUUAAUUUGGUGUUUUGGGGAAUUUGGACUGUUACUUUGAAAAAAUUAGAGUGUUUAAAGCAAGCUAACGCUUGAAUACAUUAGCAUGGAAUAAUGAAAUAGGACGUUCGAUCCUAUUUUGUUGGUUUCUAGGAUUGACGUAAUGAUUAAUAGGGAUAGUUGGGGGGCAUUAGUAUUCAAUUGUCAGAGGUGAAAUUCUUGGAUUUUAUUGAAGACUAACUACUGCGAAAAGCAUUUGCCAAGGAUGUUUUCAUUAAUCAAGAACGAAAGUUAGGGGAUCGAAGACGAUCAGAUACCGUCGUAGUCUUAACCAUAAACUAUGCCGACUAGGGAUCGGAUGAUGUUAAUUUUUAAUGACUCAUUCGGCGCCU